CCUACGGGCGGCAGCAGUGGGGAAUAUUGGACAAUGGGGGCAACCCUUAUCCAGCCAUGCCGCGUGUGUGAAGAAGGCCCUCGGGUUGUAAAGCACUUUCAGUGAGGAAGAACGCCUGGUGGUUAAUACCCAUCAGGAAAGACAUCACUCACAGAAGAAGCACCGGCUAACUCCGUGCCAGCAGCCGCGGUAAUACGGAGGGUGCGAGCGUUAAUCGGAAUUACUGGGCGUAAAGCGCGCGUAGGUGGCUUGAUAAGCCGGUUGUGAAAGCCCCGGGCUCAACCUGGGAACGGCAUCCGGAACUGUCAAGCUAGAGUGCAGGAGAGGAAGGUAGAAUUCCCGGUGUAGCGGUGAAAUGCGUAGAGAUCGGGAGGAAUACCAGUGGCGAAGGCGGCCUUCUGGACUGACACUGACACUGAGGUGCGAAAGCGUGGGUAGCAAACAGGAUUAGAUACCCGAGUAGUC
RNAcentral lists this ribosomal RNA (465 nucleotides) under Vreelandella stevensii. RNAcentral describes it as "partial 16S ribosomal RNA". It matches the Rfam family "Bacterial small subunit ribosomal RNA", at positions 338 to 795 of the family's 1533-position model. The record is from RNAcentral. Lineage: Bacteria; Pseudomonadati; Pseudomonadota; Gammaproteobacteria; Oceanospirillales; Halomonadaceae.